CGUGUAUAACUGGAUUAAACACAAAGAAAGCUGGUCGGCUCAGCGAGAGAGAGAGAGAGAGAGAGAGAGAGAGUUAAAAAAUUUCAAUGAUACUGAACUCAGCUGCUGCCACUGCCACUGCCAUGGCCGUCCCUUGCAGGCCUCCAUUAAGGACCAUGUGCUUAGGCUCCAACAUCAACACGGAGCAGCUUCGUGCCCAGCUCGAUCAGCUUCACUCCGAGGCAGAGAGAACCAGAGCCAAGGCAAAUAGUGCAAGGCUGAGACUUCUGCGAUUGUCAGAUGCAGCUGACAAGCUUCGACGGCAAGCAGCUAUUAGUGUCCAAACUGGGAAAGAAAAUGAUGCAAGGCAACUGCUUUUACAGAAAAAAAAGGUCAUACUAGCUUUGGAGAAGUCAAAACGCCGCAUUGAAUUGCUUGAUGAGCUUUCGGCGAAGUUAAAUGAGGCCGUAUCUCUGAAUGAAAGUCAGCUAGUUGGGAAUGUUUCUUUGGAUCUUGAAGUUGGUAGAGAAGAUGCACCCAGUCCUGUUCGGAUUAUAUCACCAAAGCAGGAAAAUACUGAAGAUCUGAAUGAGAACAAAGAAUUUGAGCCUAAUAUGCUGGAACUGGACGGUACAGAAGAUUUGCAACUCCAUUCAGAGGGUCAAGAAAACCUACCAGUUGAUAAGGAGGCAGAGGAUCUUGAAGCUUCUCCAAGUGUGGGCAUUCAGAAUGAAGAUGACAGUGUCAGUAGUUUGAAUGGAAUAUCUUCUUAUGAGGAUUUCUUGGAACAUUUGGAUAAAGAUCUCAGCAAUAUUGAAGCAGAACUUCUGACCAUUUUGAGGGUCUCAACCUUGAUACUAGAUAGCAAUGAGACAGGAAAAAAUUCGAGGGUGCAGGAAACACUGGAACUUCUUGAGGGCAUCCAUGGCAUUAGAAAGAGAAUUACCAGUAUUAAAUUGACGAAGGUGGAGACCAGAUGAUAUUUCAUUUUGUGGUAUUCAGUUUUUUGCAAGCAGAACCUAGUUACGAGGAAGAUGAUUGGCAAUGGUAACUUGAAGGAUGGCUUGUACUAUCUGGACUCUCAGCCCAACACACAAGAUGUUUCACAAGAUGGUUCAGACUCAGUUUAAUACCAAGAUUAAAAUUGUUCGUUCUGACAAUGGAGGUGAAUAUAUGUCUGGUAAUCUCGAGAUGUGUUAAUUUUUAAUUGACUGCAUUCUGUUGGCAAAAUCACUAUUAUGUAAGUCUGCUAGCUUAACAGGGAUGCUGUAUUUUCCAGAGUCUUCAGAAUAUUCAAAAGUUAAUUUACUCAAUAUGAAAAGUCUUAAUAUGACAAGUAAUAGUGUCAUCAGCUCAUGAAAGACAAUUUCCAAGCAUCAGGAAGAUUCUGCGCAGUUUACAACUUAACAAAAGUCGGUUCCCUACUUACUGUCCGAACGGCCCAAAGGAAGCGUCUGGACGCCCAUCAGUGUUCGAAGAAUGUCCGAACACCUUAGCAGACACCAACCACAGGGAACUCAUGUUCGCAUUGAUGUUCGGACAUGCGAAUAGCAACUCCUGAGAGCACCUAUUUGCACAGGUGUCCAAACGGCAAACUGGAAGCUGGGAACAAUGAAUAUUGCAAGCAACCGUUCAAACACUAGGGCUAUACCGUCCAAAUUCGAUGACUGAAGAUUAUUGAAGAAUCGCGUAUUUUAAAGUCAAUUGAUGCUUGCCGUCCGAAAGCUCAUUGCCUAAGUCCGAACGCUACCUAAAGAACUCCGAUUCAGACUUGUAUUAGGUUUUCUAUAGCCUAUAAAUAGAGGUCUCUAAGCAUGUAUUAUUCAAGAAUUCGGUAUUGAAUUCCAUUGUACUAAGAGAGGGUGUGUAGGCAAAAACAGAGAUAUUUGCUAGCUGUCUUAGGAUUUUUAGUGUAAUUUGAUCAACUCAUUGAAGUUUAGUCUAAGGAGAAGCCCUAAGCUAAAGAAAUCCAUUGAAGACCCCUUCAGAUAGGAGACCUGGUUGGGAAGCAUUCAUGUAUAGGUACACGUCAAAGUGUACAGUAUGACCACUGCAUAAGUUAUGUAAGUGCGAGUGCUUUGUUUUCUAAAUAGUGGAUGUAUUGGGUUUGGCUGCCCAAGAGUAGUUUUUCUCUUAACUGACCACUUCGUUAACAAAAUAUAUAUCUUCUUUCAAUUC
Alnus glutinosa is the source of this 2157-nucleotide RNA transcript. RefSeq lists it as uncharacterized. The record is from RefSeq and is a predicted model, not a curated record. NCBI's taxonomy places the organism in Eukaryota, Viridiplantae, Streptophyta, Magnoliopsida, Fagales, Betulaceae. The transcript is spliced from 6 exons.